UACGGGGGGGGCAAGCGUUGUUCGGAAUUACUGGGCGUAAAGGGCUCGUAGGCGGCCAUCUAAGUCAGACGUGAAAUCCCCAGGCUCAACCUGGGAACUGCGUCUGAUACUGGAUGGCUUGAAUCCGGGAGAGGGAUGCAGAAUUCCAGGUGUAGCGGUGAAAUGCGUAGAUAUCUGGAGGAAUACCGGUGGCGAAGGCGGCAUCCUGGACCGGCAUUGACGCUGAGGAGCGAAAGCCAGGGGAGCAAACGGG
RNAcentral lists this ribosomal RNA (253 nucleotides) under uncultured bacterium. Its description in RNAcentral is "partial 16S ribosomal RNA". It matches the Rfam family "Bacterial small subunit ribosomal RNA", at positions 524 to 776 of the family's 1533-position model. The record is from RNAcentral.